GCAAGUCGAGCGCACCUUCGGGUGAGCGGCGGACGGGUUAGUAACGCGUGGGAACGUGCCCUUCUCUACGGAAUAGCCAUUGGAAACGAUGAGUAAUACCGUAUACGCCCUUCGGGGGAAAGAUUUAUCGGAGAAGGAUCGGCCCGCGUCUGAUUAGAUAGUUGGUGGGGUAACGGCCUACCAAGUCUACGAUCAGUAGCUGGUUUGAGAGGAUGAUCAGCAACACUGGGACUGAGACACGGCCCAGACUCCUACGGGAGGCAGCAGUGGGGAAUCUUAGACAAUGGGCGAAAGCCUGAUCUAGCCAUGCCGCGUGAGUGACGAAGGCCUUAGGGUCGUAAAGCUCUUUCGCCAGGGAUGAUAAUGACAGUACCUGGUAAAGAAACCCCGGCUAACUCCGUGCCAGCAGCCGCGGUAAUACGGAGGGGGUUAGCGUUGUUCGGAAUUACUGGGCGUAAAGCGCACGUAGGCGGACCAGAAAGUUGGGGGUGAAAUCCCGGGGCUCAACCCCGGAACUGCCUCCAAAACUCCUGGUCUAGAGUUCGAGAGAGGUGAGUGGAAUUCCGAGUGUAGAGGUGAAAUUCGUAGAUAUUCGGAGGAACACCAGUGGCGAAGGCGGCUCACUGGCUCGAUACUGACGCUGAGGUGCGAAAGUGUGGGGAGCAAACAGGAUUAUAUACCCUGGUAGUCCACACCGUAAACGAUGAAUGCCAGACGUCAGGGGGCUUGCCCUUUGGUGUCACACCUAACGGAUUAAGCAUUCCGCCUGGGGAGUACGGUCGCAAG
RNAcentral lists this ribosomal RNA (786 nucleotides) under Loktanella agnita. RNAcentral's name for it is "bacterial SSU rRNA". It matches the Rfam family "Bacterial small subunit ribosomal RNA", at positions 57 to 892 of the family's 1533-position model. Lineage: Bacteria; Pseudomonadati; Pseudomonadota; Alphaproteobacteria; Rhodobacterales; Roseobacteraceae. The record is from RNAcentral.